This 1372-nucleotide ribosomal RNA is filed under the name uncultured bacterium. Its description in RNAcentral is "bacterial SSU rRNA". It matches the Rfam family "Bacterial small subunit ribosomal RNA", at positions 28 to 1381 of the family's 1533-position model. The record is from RNAcentral.
GAUGAACGCUGGCGGCGUGCCUAAUACAUGCAAGUCGAGCGAACGGACGAGAAGCUUGCUUCUCUGAUGUUAGCGGCGGACGGGUGAGUAACACGUGGAUAACCUACCUAUAAGACUGGGAUAACUUCGGGAAACCGGAGCUAAUACCGGAUAAUAUUUUGAACCGCAUGGUUCAAAAGUGAAAGACGGUCUUGCUGUCACUUAUAGAUGGAUCCGCGCUGCAUUAGCUAGUUGGUGAGGUAACGGCUUACCAAGGCAACGAUGCAUAGCCGACCUGAGAGGGUGAUCGGCCACACUGGAACUGAGACACGGUCCAGACUCCUACGGGAGGCAGCAGUAGGGAAUCUUCCGCAAUGGGCGAAAGCCUGACGGAGCAACGCCGCGUGAGUGAUGAAGGUCUUCGGAUCGUAAAACUCUGUUAUUAGGGAAGAACAUAUGUGUAAGUAACUGUGCACAUCUUGACGGUACCUAAUCAGAAAGCCACGGCUAACUACGUGCCAGCAGCCGCGGUAAUACGUAGGUGGCAAGCGUUAUCCGGAAUUAUUGGGCGUAAAGCGCGCGUAGGCGGUUUUUUAAGUCUGAUGUGAAAGCCCACGGCUCAACCGUGGAGGGUCAUUGGAAACUGGAAAACUUGAGUGCAGAAGAGGAAAGUGGAAUUCCAUGUGUAGCGGUGAAAUGCGCAGAGAUAUGGAGGAACACCAGUGGCGAAGGCGACUUUCUGGUCUGUAACUGACGCUGAUGUGCGAAAGCGUGGGGAUCAAACAGGAUUAGAUACCCUGGUAGUCCACGCCGUAAACGAUGAGUGCUAAGUGUUAGGGGGUUUCCGCCCCUUAGUGCUGCAGCUAACGCAUUAAGCACUCCGCCUGGGGAGUACGACCGCAAGGUUGAAACUCAAAGGAAUUGACGGGGACCCGCACAAGCGGUGGAGCAUGUGGUUUAAUUCGAAGCAACGCGAAGAACCUUACCAAAUCUUGACAUCCUUUGACAACUCUAGAGAUAGAGCCUUCCCCUUCGGGGGACAAAGUGACAGGUGGUGCAUGGUUGUCGUCAGCUCGUGUCGUGAGAUGUUGGGUUAAGUCCCGCAACGAGCGCAACCCUUAAGCUUAGUUGCCAUCAUUAAGUUGGGCACUCUAAGUUGACUGCCGGUGACAAACCGGAGGAAGGUGGGGAUGACGUCAAAUCAUCAUGCCCCUUAUGAUUUGGGCUACACACGUGCUACAAUGGACAAUACAAAGGGCAGCGAAACCGCGAGGUCAAGCAAAUCCCAUAAAGUUGUUCUCAGUUCGGAUUGUAGUCUGCAACUCGACUACAUGAAGCUGGAAUCGCUAGUAAUCGUAGAUCAGCAUGCUACGGUGAAUACGUUCCCGGGUCU